AGAGUUUGAUCCUGGCUCAGAACGAACGCUGGCGGCAUGCCUAACACAUGCAAGUCGAACGAAGCCUUCGGGCUUAGUGGCGCACGGGUGCGUAACGCGUGGGAACCUGCCUUUAGGUUCGGAAUAACAGUUAGAAAUGACUGCUAAUACCGGAUAAUGUCUUCGGACCAAAGAUUUAUCGCCUUUAGAUGGGCCCGCGUUAGAUUAGGUAGUUGGUGGGGUAAUGGCCUACCAAGCCGACGAUCUAUAGCUGGUCUGAGAGGACGAUCAGCCACACUGGGACUGAGACACGGCCCAGACUCCUACGGGAGGCAGCAGUGGGGAAUAUUGGACAAUGGGCGAAAGCCUGAUCCAGCAAUGCCGCGUGUGUGAAGAAGGCCUGCGGGUUGUAAAGCACUUUCAGUAGGGAAGAUAAUGACGGUACCUACAGAAGAAGCACCGGCUAACUCCGUGCCAGCAGCCGCGGUAAUACGGAGGGGGCUAGCGUUGUUCGGAAUUACUGGGCGUAAAGCGUGCGUAGGCGGACUGGAAAGUUAGAGGUGAAAUCCCGGGGCUUAACCCCGGAACUGCCUUUAAAACUAUCAGUCUAGAGUUCUGGAGAGGUAAGUGGAAUUCCUAGUGUAGAGGUGAAAUUCGUAGAUAUUAGGAGGAACACCAGAGGCGAAGGCGGCUUACUGGACAGAUACUGACGCUGAGGCACGAAAGUGUGGGGAGCAAACAGGAUUAGAUACCCUGGUAGUCCACGCCCUAAACGAUGUCAACUAGCCGUUGGGUUCAUUUAAGGACUUAGUGGCGCAGCUAACGCGAUAAGUUGACCGCCUGGGGAGUACGGUCGCAAGAUUAAAACUCAAAGGAAUAGACGGGGGCCCGCACAAGCGGUGGAGCAUGUGGUUUAAUUCGAUGCAACGCGAAGAACCUUACCUGGCCUUGACAUCCUGCGAACUUUCUAGAGAUAGAUUGGUGCCUUCGGGAACGCAGUGACAGGUGCUGCAUGGCUGUCGUCAGCUCGUGUCGUGAGAUGUUGGGUUAAGUCCCGCAACGAGCGCAACCCUUGUCCUUAGUUGCCAGCACAUAAUGGUGGGAACUCUAAGGAGACUGCCGGUGAUAAACCGGAGGAAGGUGGGGAUGACGUCAAGUCAUCAUGGCCCUUAUGGCCAGGGCUACACACGUGCUACAAUGGUCGGUACAAAGGGUUGCCAACCCGCGAGGGGGAGCUAAUCUCAAAAAGCCGAUCUCAGUCCGGAUUGGAGUCUGCAACUCGACUCCAUGAAGUCGGAAUCGCUAGUAAUCGUGGAUCAGCAUUGCCGCGGUGAAUACGUUCCCGGGCCUUGUACACACCGCCCGUCACACCAUGGGAGUUGGCUGCAAAAGAAGUGGGUAGUUUAACCUUCGGGAGAACGCUCACCACUUUGUGGUUAAUGACUGGGGUGAAGUCGUAACAAGGUAGCCGUAGGGGAACCUGCGGCUGGAUCACCUCCUU
This 1480-nucleotide ribosomal RNA is filed under the name uncultured Alphaproteobacteria bacterium. Its description in RNAcentral is "uncultured alpha proteobacterium 16S ribosomal RNA". It matches the Rfam family "Bacterial small subunit ribosomal RNA". Lineage: Bacteria; Pseudomonadati; Pseudomonadota; Alphaproteobacteria. The record is from RNAcentral.